CCGGCCCGCCCGGGCAGCGCUGUAUCCUUUGGCCCAGUGGGCAGGGCCCGAGCUGGAACCCUCUCCGGUUGUUGGGACGACGGUGCCCUGGAAUUUCAGCCUCCCUGGCCGGUGGCGUGAAGGAGAAAGGCUCUACAGCAAGUCCCCCAGAGAUCACACACAAUCCACCCUCACAGGCCAGCCGCAAUUCAGAGCUCAGAGAGGUCAAAAGUUUCCUUGCAAGUGCAGGAAUGCUGAACACAGAGCAGGCACCGGGGACAAGAAAAAGACCUGGACACACAUCCCAACCUGGGCUUAAGAGUCCCCCCAUCCAGACCUGGUGACAAGAGACUGGCGGCGAAGGGCCGGAGAGGGGUCUGGGGACAGCAGGCACCCCUACGCCCCAGUGCCCGGGACACUCGGGGAGGACUGAGCGCAAGCACCGCGCAGUACCCUGCUAUGACCCAGAUAAGGGAAGUGAGAAGCUGGGUGCCCCCCAGGCGGCCACCUGA
Dipodomys spectabilis (banner-tailed kangaroo rat) is the source of this 491-nucleotide long non-coding RNA. RefSeq lists it as uncharacterized. Lineage: Eukaryota; Metazoa; Chordata; Mammalia; Rodentia; Heteromyidae. The transcript has 5 exons. The record is from RefSeq and is a predicted model, not a curated record.